Molecule: ribosomal RNA, 253 nt
Filed under: uncultured bacterium
Lineage: Bacteria
Description: partial 16S ribosomal RNA
Rfam family: Bacterial small subunit ribosomal RNA
Source: RNAcentral
UACGAAGGGGGCUAGCGUUGCUCGGAAUCACUGGGCGUAAAGGGUGCGUAGGCGGGUCUUUAAGUCAGGGGUGAAAUCCUGGAGCUCAACUCCAGAACUGCCUUUGAUACUGAAGAUCUUGAGUUCGGGAGAGGUGAGUGGAACUGCGAGUGUAGAGGUGAAAUUCGUAGAUAUUCGCAAGAACACCUGCGGCGAAGGCGGGUUGCUGGGCUGACACUGACGCUGAUGCGCGAAAGCCAGGGGAGCGAACGGG